This is a long non-coding RNA of Symphalangus syndactylus (siamang), 270 nucleotides long. RefSeq lists it as uncharacterized. Lineage: Eukaryota; Metazoa; Chordata; Mammalia; Primates; Hylobatidae. The record is from RefSeq and is a predicted model, not a curated record.
GCCCAACAUAGCCCAACAUAUUUUAUAAUGAUCAGAUGGUGGGUCAGUUAAAUAGUGUGACUCAUCAAGGCAAAUGUAGAAACAUUUGAAGACAUAUUUGAAGACCCUGAUUCUUUAACACAGAAGCAGAGUAUGAAGGAGGCAGCAAGUAAACCUUUCAACCCGAAUGCCUGAUUAUCUGGGGUCUCUGGAGCGAAAGCAAGGAAAGGCAGGUAGGUCAUGCUAAGGCAGCUCUGAGGCAAUGUGUGUGUGUUUCAGAGUAACUAACAG